RNAcentral lists this long non-coding RNA (328 nucleotides) under Ictidomys tridecemlineatus (thirteen-lined ground squirrel). RNAcentral's name for it is "lncRNA (ENSSTOG00000030431.1)". Lineage: Eukaryota; Metazoa; Chordata; Mammalia; Rodentia; Sciuridae. The record is from RNAcentral.
UCAGAGAUACCGAGACGUUUUGUUUCCUUCCUGGCAUCUUCAUAAAAGGAUCUGUUUUGAAAAGACAGACUGACCUGAGGCUGAUCUACCUCCAGGCUUAAAGGAGAAAAAUAAGAUGAGACAAAGACUCGGCCUCCGUCCAAGCCCGCGUGCCCGUGCCCUGUGUGACGCCGAGCAGAUAGCGGUGACAGAGCUGCAGGGAAAUGUCACCGUUUCAGACCCAUGUGCCACUGAAGAGCUGGAGCAGGCCUGACGUGCCUCGGGGGCUGACACCGAUCCUUCACUCCCUCAGCUCCCGACGUGCCGCAGGAGGGGGUGAGAGACACUU